CCUACAUGUGUAGGAUAGGUGGGAGGCUAUGAAGACGUGACGCCAGUUGCGUUGGAGCCGUCCUUGAAAUACCACCCUUGUAUGUUUGAUGUUCUAACUUGGCCCCAUUAUCUGGGGUGAGGACAGUGCCUGGUGGGUAGUUUGACUGGGGCGGUCUCCUCCCAAAGAGUAACGGAGGAGCACGAAGGUGGGCUAAUCACGGUUGGACAUCGUGAGG
Molecule: ribosomal RNA, 217 nt
Filed under: Vibrio cholerae
Lineage: Bacteria; Pseudomonadati; Pseudomonadota; Gammaproteobacteria; Vibrionales; Vibrionaceae
Description: partial 23S ribosomal RNA
Rfam family: Bacterial large subunit ribosomal RNA
Source: RNAcentral